Cylas formicarius (sweet potato weevil) is the source of this 130-nucleotide small nucleolar RNA. RefSeq annotates it as small nucleolar RNA SNORA79. NCBI's taxonomy places the organism in Eukaryota, Metazoa, Arthropoda, Insecta, Coleoptera, Brentidae. The record is from RefSeq and is a predicted model, not a curated record. The transcript has a single exon.
UGACAACAGUUCCUUUUGUUAAACAAUGCUCGUUUAUCAAGAUUUUAGGGUUGUCAUUACAUAAUUUGAGUUCUUCACCCCUGAAGGUUUAGAGUUGUUAAACUUUGGGGUUUUGCUAAUUCACACAUUU